Long non-coding RNA from Wyeomyia smithii (pitcher-plant mosquito), 1098 nucleotides. RefSeq lists it as uncharacterized. The record is from RefSeq and is a predicted model, not a curated record. The transcript is spliced from 3 exons. Lineage: Eukaryota; Metazoa; Arthropoda; Insecta; Diptera; Culicidae.
AGCUGCGUGGCCGCAAGGUUUUAGAGUCUGCUUUGUCAAGCUUUGUCGGUCGAUAUCAAAAAUGAAUAAACAUGGGUUUAUUCUCAGGUUCCCCCAUCACUUACUUUUUCUUUACGUUCAAUUCUAUAAUACCUUUGUGUGAAUUUCUCUUAACAAAAAUAUAACUUGAUUUUAGUUGAAAAGUAUUGCAGUUUUAGAAAUAUCUUGCAUUCAUUCCUAGGGUCCAAUGAAAAACAAUAAGAAAGGUGAGUACGAUCAGCCAAUAUACUUGUUUCGGGAAAAAACACGUUUAAAAGUACGUGGUCCCAUAAGCUUUUUUACUGGUUAGUGGAACAAAAUGCUUUGUGAGAUGAUAGUUUACGACAUCAAAUGUUCAAAAUUUUGAGUUGUGUCACUAACCGACGAUAUAGUGGUAUAUUCACUUCUUCACAAUGCACUUCGUUUGGAGAUAAACACUCUGGCGAUACGCUACAGUUUUCAAGGAAUCAUUUGAAUUCUUGGAAAGCUGUUAAUUGACUUUUACUCUUAUCCAGCAAACUAUUUUACUACCGGAAACACCCGACUUUGCAGUGUAAGUAAAUAAGAAAAUAAUUGCAAGUGAUGAAUAAAAUUUAUUUUUUUGUCAUUAUGAAUAGCUUCAUGUUAAUUACGAGCGAGAUCUGUACGCGGCCGUAGUCACAGGAAGCUGAGGUCUAUACCGGGUGCGCUUGAAGCUUCCAAUGCCGAACUUGAGUGAAACAUACCAGCACGAGAGCAUGAAAGAGAGACUGCUGCUGCUGGACUACUGCUGCUGUUGGGACCACUGUUGCUGCUGGGACUAUUGCUACUGCUGCUGGGACUGCUGCCGAGUUGUUGCCACCAAGCAGUUCUGUGGAAACUCUAGGUACAACUAUUACUACAUGGUCCAACGAUCAACUGUAAAGCUCAGAAAUAUUCAAAGGGAUCGGUAAACUUGCUUCAGCGGGAGAACCUGGACUGAUUCGAAAAAUUAAGCGAUUGCGACAUCGAUCGGGCAAGCAAGCCUACACAAUCGGAACGCUGCAUUCAUACACAUAUCCUGUUGUUACCAGAAAAUGAUUUAUUUAAAGAACAAACAAA